This is a long non-coding RNA of Papaver somniferum (opium poppy), 773 nucleotides long. RefSeq lists it as uncharacterized. The record is from RefSeq and is a predicted model, not a curated record. The transcript has 2 exons. NCBI's taxonomy places the organism in Eukaryota, Viridiplantae, Streptophyta, Magnoliopsida, Ranunculales, Papaveraceae.
UCGUUACUUCCUCCUCUCCUCCUUCACUUCUUCUUCUUCAGCGAAGAAGGAAACCCUAUCACAGCAACCACCACUUUCUUCUUCGUUUUGCAGACAUAACUCUAUCACAACAACCUCCAUCUUCUUCUUCACUUCUUCUUUAGUUACUAACAUCUCAAUCUGAUUUUGGGUAAAGAAGAUUAGUUUUUUAGAGUUCUUAUUAUAUUGCAUGUUUGAUUAAACAACAUCAACAGCCAUACCCCUGUGAUUCCAUGUUUAUGUGAUUUGAUGAUAGAUGCAGAGAAAAUGGUUAUCAUUAAUUAUCAAUAAUUGAUGUUGUGAAGUUGAUUUGAUGAUGAAUCUGAAGUUUAGGUUUCAUAAGAGGAAUUUAAAGAAGACUUGGAAGAUGAAAUUGAAGGUAUGGAAGGGUGGGAUUCGUGGGAAUCAAAAAUAAGGAUUUUUGAGAUUUGGGUUCUUAUUUAACUUUAAUUGCAAGAGAAGAAACAUUGGUGGAGACUGAAAUCUAGUGUGAAGGAGUCUGCUGAAUUUAGUAGAACAUGGGAAUGGAUCAAAUUUGAUGGAUUUUGGUAAAGAAUCUAAAGAUGCAGAUGCAGUUCUUGAUGAUGCUUGCUGGAUUUGGUGGUUUAUUUAUGUUUAUGUCUCUACUCAAUUUCUUUUUAAUUCUGUUUAUGUCUCCUUGCAAACAAUCUUUUUAUUGUAUUUUUGUUCAAUUUCUUAGGAAUCUGGAAAUGUUUAAAUUUUGUGAAUUUAAUAAGUUUGAUAGAUUGAUAUUA